GCCAGUAUGGCAUAGUGGUUUGUGUGUUGGACUGUAACUCUGGAGACUAGGGUUUCAUUCCCACCUUGGCC
Non-coding RNA from Phrynosoma platyrhinos (Desert horned lizard), 71 nucleotides. Lineage: Eukaryota; Metazoa; Chordata; Lepidosauria; Squamata; Phrynosomatidae. The record is from the annotation of a GenBank genome assembly.